RNAcentral lists this ribosomal RNA (420 nucleotides) under Bacillus subtilis. RNAcentral describes it as "bacterial SSU rRNA". It matches the Rfam family "Bacterial small subunit ribosomal RNA", at positions 379 to 786 of the family's 1533-position model. The record is from RNAcentral. Lineage: Bacteria; Bacillati; Bacillota; Bacilli; Caryophanales; Bacillaceae.
UCUUGUAACGGUAGCAACGCCGCGUUGAGUGAUGAAUGGUUCUUCGGAUCGUAAAGCUCUGUUGUUAGGGAAGAACAAGUGCCGUUCAAAUAGGGCGGCACCUUGACGGUACCUAACCAGAAAGCCACGGCUAACUACGUGCCAGCAGCCGCGGUAAUACGUAGGUGGCAAGCGUUGUCCGGAAUUAUUGGGCGUAAAGGGCUCGCAGGCGGUUUCUUAAGUCUGAUGUGAAAGCCCCCGGCUCAACCGGGGAGGGUCAUUGGAAACUGGGGAACUUGAGUGCAGAAGAGGAGAGUGGAAUUCCACGUGUAGCGGUGAAAUGCGUAGAGAUGUGGAGGAACACCAGUGGCGAAGGCGACUCUCUGGUCUGUAACUGACGCUGAGGAACGAAAGCGUGGGGAGCGAAAAGGAUUAGAUACC